Molecule: ribosomal RNA, 2868 nt
Filed under: Acinetobacter baumannii
Lineage: Bacteria; Pseudomonadati; Pseudomonadota; Gammaproteobacteria; Moraxellales; Moraxellaceae
Description: 23S ribosomal RNA
Rfam family: Bacterial large subunit ribosomal RNA
Source: RNAcentral
GUUGUAUAGUCAAGUAAUUAAGUGCAUGUGGUGGAUGCCUUGGCAGUCAGAGGCGAUGAAAGACGUGAUAGCCUGCGAAAAGCUCCGGGGAGGCGGCAAAUAUCCUUUGAUCCGGAGAUGUCUGAAUGGGGGAACCCACCUACUUUAAGGUAGGUAUUGCAACAUGAAUACAUAGUGUUGCAAGGCGAACGAGGGGAAGUGAAACAUCUCAGUACCCUUAGGAAAAGAAAUCAAUUGAGAUUCCCUCAGUAGCGGCGAGCGAACGGGGAUCAGCCCAUUAAGUUAUGUGUGUUUUAGUGGAACGCUCUGGGAAGUGCGAACGUAGAGGGUGAUAUUCCCGUACACGAAAGGGCACACAUAAUGAUGACGAGUAGGGCGAGGCACGUGAAACCUUGUCUGAAUAUGGGGGGACCAUCCUCCAAGGCUAAAUACUCCUGACUGACCGAUAGUGAACCAGUACCGUGAGGGAAAGGCGAAAAGAACCCCUGUGAGGGGAGUGAAAUAGAUCCUGAAACCGCAUGCAUACAAGCAGUGGGAGCACCUUCGUGGUGUGACUGCGUACCUUUUGUAUAAUGGGUCAGCGACUUAUAUUCAGUAGCAAGGUUAACCGUAUAGGGGAGCCGUAGAGAAAUCGAGUCUUAAUAGGGCGUUUAGUUGCUGGGUAUAGACCCGAAACCAGGCGAUCUAUCCAUGAGCAGGUUGAAGGUUGGGUAACACUAACUGGAGGACCGAACCCACUGUCGUUGAAAAGCCAGGGGAUGACUUGUGGAUAGGGGUGAAAGGCUAAUCAAGCCUGGUGAUAGCUGGUUCUCCCCGAAAGCUAUUUAGGUAGCGCCUCGGACGAAUACCAUAGGGGGUAGAGCACUGUUUCGGCUAGGGGGUCAUCCCGACUUACCAAACCGAUGCAAACUCCGAAUACCUAUGAGUACUAUCCGGGAGACAGACUGCGGGUGCUAACGUCCGUAGUCAAGAGGAAAACAAUCCAGACCGCCAGCUAAGGCCCCAAAAUCAUAGUUAAGUGGGAAACGAUGUGGGAAGGCAUAGACANNNNNNNNNNNNNNNNNNNNNNNNNNNNNNNNNNNNNNNNNNNNNNNNNNNNNNNNNNNNNNNNNNNNNNNNNNNNNNNNNNNNNNNNNNNNNNNNNNNNNNNNNNNNNNNNNNNNNUAUACUUUGUAUACGUGGUAGGGGAGCGUUCUGUAAGCCGAUGAAGGUGUGUUGAGAAGCAUGCUGGAGGUAUCAGAAGUGCGAAUGCUGACGUGAGUAACGACAAAACGGGUGAAAAACCCGUNNNNCCCCUAAGGCGAGGCCGAAAGGCGUAGUCGAUGGGAAAAUGGUUAAUAUUCCAUUACUUCUGUGUAAUGCGAUGAGAGGACGGAGAAGGCUAAAUCAGCCUGGCGUUGGUUGUCCAGGUGAAAGGAUGUAGGCAUGUAUCUUAGGCAAAUCCGGGGUACUCUAUGCUGAGAUCUGAUAGCAAGCUGUACUUGUACAGCGAAGUGGUUGAUGCCAUGCUUCCAGGAAAAGUCUCUAAGCUUCAGUUACACAGGAAUCGUACCCGAAACCGACACAGGUGGUCAGGUCGAGUAGACCAAGGCGCUUGAGAGAACUCUGCUGAAGGAACUAGGCAAAAUGGUACCGUAACUUCGGGAGAAGGUACGCUGUUGUUGGUGAUGGAACUCGCUUCCUGAGCUGACGACAGCCGCAGAAACCAGGCCGCUGCAACUGUUUAUUAAAAACAUAGCACUCUGCAAACACGAAAGUGGACGUAUAGGGUGUGAUGCCUGCCCGGUGCUGGAAGGUUAAUUGAUGGGGUUAGCGUAAGCGAAGCUCUUGAUCGAAGCCCCAGUAAACGGCGGCCGUAACUAUAACGGUCCUAAGGUAGCGAAAUUCCUUGUCGGGUAAGUUCCGACCUGCACGAAUGGCAUAAUGAUGGCGGCGCUGUCUCCAGCAGAGGCUCAGUGAAAUCGAAAUCGCUGUGAAGAUGCAGUGUACCCGCGGCUAGACGGAAAGACCCCGUGAACCUUUACUGCAGCUUGACACUGAACUUUGACCUUACUUGUGUAGGAUAGGUGGGAGGCUUUGAAGCUGGAACGCUAGUUCCAGUGGAGCCGUCCUUGAAAUACCACCCUGGUAAUGUUGAGGUUCUAACUCUGUCCCGUGAUCCGGGACGAGGACCGUGUCUGGUGGGUAGUUUGACUGGGGCGGUCUCCUCCUAAAGAGUAACGGAGGAGUACGAAGGUGCGCUCAGCGUGGUCGGAAAUCACGCGUAGAGUAUAAAGGCAAAAGCGCGCUUAACUGCGAGACCCACAAGUCGAGCAGGUACGAAAGUAGGUCUUAGUGAUCCGGUGGUUCUGUAUGGAAGGGCCAUCGCUCAACGGAUAAAAGGUACUCUGGGGAUAACAGGCUGAUACCGCCCAAGAGUUCAUAUCGACGGCGGUGUUUGGCACCUCGAUGUCGGCUCAUCUCAUCCUGGGGCUGAAGCAGGUCCCAAGGGUAUGGCUGUUCGCCAUUUAAAGAGGUACGCGAGCUGGGUUUAGAACGUCGUGAGACAGUUCGGUCCCUAUCUACCGUGGGCGCUGGAAAUUUGAGAGGAUCUGCUCCUAGUACGAGAGGACCAGAGUGGACGAACCUCUGGUGUACCGGUUGUGACGCCAGUCGCAUCGCCGGGUAGCUAUGUUCGGAAGGGAUAACCGCUGAAAGCAUCUAAGCGGGAAGCCUACCUCAAGAUAAGAUUUCCCUAGGACUUUAUGUCCUCUAAAGAGCCGUUCGAGACUAGGACGUUGAUAGGUUGGAUGUGGAAGCAUAGUGAUAUGUGAAGCUGACCAAUACUAAUUGCUCGUGAGGCUUGACUAUACAACACCCAAGCAGUUG